CCGAAUGGGGCAACCCAGCAUGGUGUGAAUCAUGUUAUCCAGUAAUGGAGGCGAACCAGGGGAAGUGAAACAUCUCAGUACCCUGAGGAAGAGAAAUCAAAUGAGAUUCCGUCAGUAGCGGCGAGCGAACGCGGAUUAGGACAAACCCUAUGCUUGCAUAGGGGGUUGUAGGACCAAGAUAUGAGACCAAAGAAGAUAGAUGAGAUAGUUGGAAAGCUAUAGUAUAAAAGGUGAUACUCCUGUAAUCGAAAUCUUCAAUGGCUCUAUUGGUAUCCUGAGUAGGACGGAACACGUGAUAUUUUGUCUGAAUCUAGGGGGACCACCCUCUAAUCCUAAAUACUACUUACAGAUCGA
RNAcentral lists this ribosomal RNA (354 nucleotides) under uncultured bacterium. RNAcentral's name for it is "bacterial LSU rRNA". It matches the Rfam family "Bacterial large subunit ribosomal RNA", at positions 114 to 487 of the family's 2925-position model. The record is from RNAcentral.